GGUGGUAAGGGAAAGGAUGAGUGCGAGGAGAGGGACGGAGGAGGGAGACCGAGUUGGCGAAGACAGAGGAGGAAGAAGGGUCUGAGCAAUGGGGGAUGGUUAAGAUUUAGGUUUAGGUUUAGUUUUUUUAAUUUUAAAUUAAUUUUCUAAUUUUUUAAUUUCUAUGUAGGUCUUUAAUGACACGUGGCACCUAGUCAUUAUUUACAUGGAUGCCACAUCACUAGUUAACGGUUGACUUAACAGUCAUCCUAACGGAUAUAUGAGAUUGUCCGAAAAUUAAAACUUAAUGUAUGAAACUGAGAUUAACCACAAAACUUUAAAACUACCUUGAUUCUUUGCAAGGUGUUUUAAAUGAAACCUAAAGGGUAAAGCAUCCAGAUCUUUGGGCUACAUGGCAAAGAUAGAAUCACAUUAAAACGGUAAUAAGGGGUUUCCAAAUAUAUGUGAAUAAAAUGGACGGAAUCAGGUUCGCUAGGAUGCUGCAUGCAUAAAUGUAUAUGAUCUUUUCUUAAGAGAGAAUAAACCAUCUUGUGUUCCCAGAACCAGUUAAUCUAAAUAUAUUCUAUCGUAAAAAAAGUAAAAGAAAUUUUCAAUUGAAUUUGUGAGGCGAAAAUGUGAGGGUGUGAAGGUAAAAAAAUUCCAAAGGAGAAACUUUGCAUGGGCUUAUAAGAGGUUUGGUUACUCUGUAUGUUGUUAAUUCGUUUUAUGGUGGAACCUCACCUUUCUUUAUGGUGUCAAAGUAGGUCCUCCUCCUAUUAAACCAAUUCAUAAGCUCAUCUUAUUUAGAG
This 788-nucleotide long non-coding RNA is filed under the name Malus domestica (apple). RNAcentral's name for it is "long non-coding RNA (MDOM_LNC012505)". Lineage: Eukaryota; Viridiplantae; Streptophyta; Magnoliopsida; Rosales; Rosaceae. The record is from RNAcentral.